Molecule: ribosomal RNA, 2930 nt
Filed under: Escherichia coli
Lineage: Bacteria; Pseudomonadati; Pseudomonadota; Gammaproteobacteria; Enterobacterales; Enterobacteriaceae
Description: bacterial LSU rRNA
Rfam family: Bacterial large subunit ribosomal RNA
Source: RNAcentral
GGGUUGUGAGGUUAAGCGACUAAGCGUACACGGUGGAUGCCCUGGCAGUCAGAGGCGAUGAAGGACGUGCUAAUCUGCGAUAAGCGUCGGUAAGGUGAUAUGAACCGUUAUAACCGGCGAUUUCCGAAUGGGGAAACCCAGUGUGAUUCGUCACACUAUCAUUAACUGAAUCCAUAGGUUAAUGAGGCGAACCGGGGGAACUGAAACAUCUAAGUACCCCGAGGAAAAGAAAUCAACCGAGAUUCCCCCAGUAGCGGCGAGCGAACGGGGAGGAGCCCAGAGCCUGAAUCAGUGUGUGUGUUAGUGGAAGCGUCUGGAAAGGCGCGCGAUACAGGGUGACAGCCCCGUACACAAAAAUACACAUAUUGUGAGCUCGAUGAGUAGGGCGGGACACGUGGUAUCCUGUCUGAAUAUGGGGGGACCAUCCUCCAAGGCUAAAUACUCCUGACUGACCGAUAGUGAACCAGUACCGUGAGGGAAAGGCGAAAAGAACCCCGGCGAGGGGAGUGAAAAAGAACCUGAAACCGUGUACGUACAAGCAGUGGGAGCACGCUUAGGCGUGUGACUGCGUACCUUUUGUAUAAUGGGUCAGCGACUUAUAUUCUGUAGCAAGGUUAACCGAAUAGGGGAGCCGAAGGGAAACCGAGUCUUAACUGGGCGUUAAGUUGCAGGGUAUAGACCCGAAACCCGGUGAUCUAGCCAUGGGCAGGUUGAAGGUUGGGUAACACUAACUGGAGGACCGAACCGACUAAUGUUGAAAAAUUAGCGGAUGACUUGUGGCUGGGGGUGAAAGGCCAAUCAAACCGGGAGAUAGCUGGUUCUCCCCGAAAGCUAUUUAGGUAGCGCCUCGUGAAUUCAUCUCCGGGGGUAGAGCACUGUUUCGGCAAGGGGGUCAUCCCGACUUACCAACCCGAUGCAAACUGCGAAUACCGGAGAAUGUUAUCACGGGAGACACACGGCGGGUGCUAACGUCCGUCGUGAAGAGGGAAACAACCCAGACCGCCAGCUAAGGUCCCAAAGUCAUGGUUAAGUGGGAAACGAUGUGGGAAGGCCCAGACAGCCAGGAUGUUGGCUUAGAAGCAGCCAUCAUUUAAAGAAAGCGUAAUAGCUCACUGGUCGAGUCGGCCUGCGCGGAAGAUGUAACGGGGCUAAACCAUGCACCGAAGCUGCGGCAGCGACGCUUAUGCGUUGUUGGGUAGGGGAGCGUUCUGUAAGCCUGUGAAGGUGUGCUGUGAGGCAUGCUGGAGGUAUCAGAAGUGCGAAUGCUGACAUAAGUAACGAUAAAGCGGGUGAAAAGCCCGCUCGCCGGAAGACCAAGGGUUCCUGUCCAACGUUAAUCGGGGCAGGGUGAGUCGACCCCUAAGGCGAGGCCGAAAGGCGUAGUCGAUGGGAAACAGGUUAAUAUUCCUGUACUUGGUGUUACUGCGAAGGGGGGACGGAGAAGGCUAUGUUGGCCGGGCGACGGUUGUCCCGGUUUAAGCGUGUAGGCUGGUUUUCCAGGCAAAUCCGGAAAAUCAAGGCUGAGGCGUGAUGACGAGGCACUACGGUGCUGAAGCAACAAAUGCCCUGCUUCCAGGAAAAGCCUCUAAGCAUCAGGUAACAUCAAAUCGUACCCCAAACCGACACAGGUGGUCAGGUAGAGAAUACCAAGGCGCUUGAGAGAACUCGGGUGAAGGAACUAGGCAAAAUGGUGCCGUAACUUCGGGAGAAGGCACGCUGAUAUGUAGGUGAAGUCCCUUGCGGAUGGAGCUGAAAUCAGUCGAAGAUACCAGCUGGCUGCAACUGUUUAUUAAAAACACAGCACUGUGCAAACACGAAAGUGGACGUAUACGGUGUGACGCCUGCCCGGUGCCGGAAGGUUAAUUGAUGGGGUCAGCGCAAGCGAAGCUCUUGAUCGAAGCCCCGGUAAACGGCGGCCGUAACUAUAACGGUCCUAAGGUAGCGAAAUUCCUUGUCGGGUAAGUUCCGACCUGCACGAAUGGCGUAAUGAUGGCCAGGCUGUCUCCACCCGAGACUCAGUGAAAUUGAACUCGCUGUGAAGAUGCAGUGUACCCGCGGCAAGACGGAAAGACCCCGUGAACCUUUACUAUAGCUUGACACUGAACAUUGAGCCUUGAUGUGUAGGAUAGGUGGGAGGCUUGGAAGUGUGGACGCCAGUCUGCAUGGAGCCGACCUUGAAAUACCACCCUUUAAUGUUUGAUGUUCUAACGUUGACCCGUAAUCCGGGUUGCGGACAGUGUCUGGUGGGUAGUUUGACUGGGGCGGUCUCCUCCUAAAGAGUAACGGAGGAGCACGAAGGUUGGCUAAUCCUGGUCGGACAUCAGGAGGUUAGUGCAAUGGCAUAAGCCAGCUUGACUGCGAGCGUGACGGCGCGAGCAGGUGCGAAAGCAGGUCAUAGUGAUCCGGUGGUUCUGAAUGGAAGGGCCAUCGCUCAACGGAUAAAAGGUACUCCGGGGAUAACAGGCUGAUACCGCCCAAGAGUUCAUAUCGACGGCGGUGUUUGGCACCUCGAUGUCGGCUCAUCACAUCCUGGGGCUGAAGUAGGUCCCAAGGGUAUGGCUGUUCGCCAUUUAAAGUGGUACGCGAGCUGGGUUUAGAACGUCGUGAGACAGUUCGGUCCCUAUCUGCCGUGGGCGCUGGAGAACUGAGGGGGGCUGCUCCUAGUACGAGAGGACCGGAGUGGACGCAUCACUGGUGUUCGGGUUGUCAUGCCAAUGGCACUGCCCGGUAGCUAAAUGCGGAAGAGAUAAGUGCUGAAAGCAUCUAAGCACGAAACUUGCCCCGAGAUGAGUUCUCCCUGACCCUUUAAGGGUCCUGAAGGAACGUUGAAGACGACGACGUUGAUAGGCCGGGUGUGUAAGCGCAGCGAUGCGUUGAGCUAACCGGUACUAAUGAACCGUGAGGCUUAACCUUACAACGCCGAAGCUGUU